This 253-nucleotide unclassified non-coding RNA is filed under the name uncultured bacterium. RNAcentral's name for it is "contains 16S-23S intergenic spacer region". It matches the Rfam family "Bacterial small subunit ribosomal RNA", at positions 524 to 776 of the family's 1533-position model. The record is from RNAcentral.
AACGUAGGAGGCAAGCGUUAUCCGGAGUUACUGGGCGUAAAGCGCAUGUAGGCGGUUGGGCAAGUGGCGUGUGAAAGCUCCCGGCUAAACUGGGAGAGGACAGGUCAGACUGCUUGACUAGAGGGUGGUAGAGGGGCGUGGAAUUCCGGGUGUAGCGGUGAAAUGUGUAGAGAUCCGGAGGAACACCAGUGGCGCAAGCGACGCCCUGGGCCACUACUGACGCUGAGAUGCGAAAGCGUGGGGAGCGAACGGG